CUGUACAGACGGGUUGGAGAUAACAGGACCAAUACUCUCACCCUGCCCAUCAUUCAGUACAUUGAGUUACGCUUGGAGUACGUAUCCCAGCUCACACAGCUGAGAGAAAGAGACACACGUUACCUACAGAGAACACAGGACAAGGUGACUAAAAGCAGGAGACUUUACUCAUUUUUUCUUUCUUUCUUUUUUAUUGGUGUGUCUUUUCGCAAGAGCCAGACCGAAACCAUUUACUGUCCGCACACAGUCGGCUUUUUUCUCCUUUCCUUUGUUUUCUUUGUAAACUUCGGCUCAGUCAGCAUUUGCCGGUGUGUCACCCACUACUCACCCCUACAUUUGACACGGGCUGUCCCCGUUUAAGCUUUAGAGCUCGGAGGAAAAGCAACUUUGAUCGUGGACCUGGGAGCUAACUGUGAAAGUGGUUGCUGCUCUCAGACAGGAUACUUUGAAGCCAUUGGGAUGUUAGCUGUGGCUGUGACAGCAGGACAGACUGAAGGAGCAUGGUGAAACACCAACCCCUCCAGGUCUAUGAGCGGCAGCUGUGUUUGUCAUGUAUCACUGGAUGCUAUGGUUGCCGAUGGAAACGCUAUCAGCGGUCACAUGAUGACACCACCAAGUGGGAGCUGUUGUGGUCCUUCAUCCUCCUCAUCACCUUCUGUCUACUGCUCGUCUGGUUCUACUUCUGGUGGGAGGCACACAACGACUACAACGAAUUCAACUGGCUCUUGUACAACCGCUCUGGGGAGUGGAGCGAUGGCACGGUUCCCAUCUUGGCCACUACUGCUGCUGGUUUCACAUAUAUUGCAUUUUUAAUGGUUUUGGCACUUUGCCAUGUUUCACUUGGGCAGCAGCUGAAUUUGCACUGGCUCCAUAAGAUAGGAGUUAUUGCUGCUUUGUUCACAACCAUCGUUGGGAUGAUAUCUGUCAAUCAAACAUGGUGGCAAGAGUGGGAUGUCAUCCCCAUCUCCCUGCAGGCUACAGGUCCAUUCCUGCACAUAGGGGCCCUCGCUGCAGUGACAGCAGUGUCUUGGAUUGUUGCAGGGCAGGUCGCUCGGGCAGAAAAACUAAUUUCCCAGGUGGUGGUUGUGCUGCUGUAUCUCAUUGUGUUAGUAGGACUCUACGUAGUGCCCCUGUAUAUCAACUCCCCAUGCAUCAUGGACCCCAGCACUCUCAAACCACGCCCCGAUGUUAUUGGUCACCAAGGAGCCCCCAUGCUAGCUCCCGAGAACACAAUGAUGUCUUUCCAGCGAGCUUUGCGCAUGAACGUCACUGGACUGGAGGCUGACGUUGCGAUCAGUGUUGAUGGUGUGCCUUUCCUGAUGCACGAUCUUACCCUGCGGAGGACCACAAACGUGGAGAGUGUUUUUCUUGACAGAAAGGAGGUGGAAGCCUCAUAUUUUAACUGGACGGAUCUACAGCAGCUCAGCGCAGGACUCUGGUUCCUCAAGGAUGACCCCUUCUGGACGGUGCACACUAUGUCUCAGAAGGAGAAGGAGAGGAUUGCCAAUCAGAGUGUAUGCAGCCUGGAGCAGCUUCUAAAACUGGCCUCGUAUCAUAACAUCACAGUGGUGCUCAGGUUGCAAAGGCCUCCUCUGCAGCACCCCCACUACCACAGCUGGAUUAAUGACACGCUGCAAGUGGUGAAGCAGUCUGGGAUUUCUCAAAGCCUGGUGAUUUGGACUCUCGAUGCGAACAGAGCUCUUGUGAGGCAAGAAGCACCUGAUCUGAUCCAAGCCUCAGUGGUAAAACAUAGUCCUCAGACUCUGCUGCAGUCAAACAUCAGCAGGCUGCUGCUCAGAUACAACCAGGCUGACACGAGCGAAAUCAGAGACUACUCCAAAGCCCAAAUCAACGUCACACUCUACACCGUCAACGAGCCGUGGCUGUACUCAGUGCUCUGGUGCAGUGGGGUGUCUUCAGUCUCCUCAGAGGCCCCACAUAUCCUCAUUAAGGUGCCUUAUCCUAUCUGGCUCAUGGGGCCAGUUCAAUACCUUCUGAUGUGGUUGUCUGCAGACUUCCUCUCUUUUGCUGUGGUCAUUGGAAUAUUCAUUUUCCAGAACUAUCACAUAAUCAGGUAUCGGAUGAGCGGCAUGCGCAGCUACAAUCCUGAGCAGAUAAUGCUGAGCUCUGCGGUCAGGACGUCCAGUCGAGACAUCAACGUAAUGAAGGAGAAACUUAUCUUCUCUGAUCAACCCCAGUAACUGCCUCCCUCCUCCGCCCUUUAUGUGACGUGCCACACCUCCUGACCAUCCCACCAUCUCCGUCUUCCUCACAAGCAUUGACUUCUCACUUUCUCCCACUGCAUCCCAUGUUGCCCUUCCACCUCUCUGCCUACUCUACCCUUUUUCAUCUUCAUCCAUUCAUUCAUCCGUCAUCCCUUCACACAUCCAUCCUCUUCCACAAUCCUCCCAGUGAAGAUGACAUUGUGUAGGAAAGCUUAUAGAUGCCACAGUCUGUUUAGCCUGUUAUGCUGGGGAUCAAAGAGGUGGGGAACGGAGUCAGCGGUGCUGAGGAGCUGUACGGGGAUAAUGGCUUCGAUUAUUACACCAAUCAGGGCAUCAGCCAGUAACUGAGACUGUGCCUGUGUGAGUCUGCUUUAAUGAGCUCAAAAACAACAUCAUUCCUUCAUCAGUGUGAGGCCUCUUCCCUCCUCUGGCCCACUGAUGAACUGACAGACUGUUUCUACUGGAAACACUCAAUUCCCUUCUGUACAUUCUGUAAAUGUCUCACUAUUUCCUCAUGGACAUUGUAUGUCAUGCAAGCACUUCUUACUGGUGGAAAUGUCUGAAUCUGUAGAUUCCUCCUGUUGCAUCCAAAUAUGUAAGAGGCCCUUUGAGUCAGAAAUGCAUGCUUCUUCUUCUUUUUUUUUAAGAGAUAUCUGUCAAGAUUCUUUGUUUUAAGCUAAAUUUCCAAAGCAGUUUAUUGUACGCACUGAAACUAAUGUUCUUCUCUUAGAGAUGAGUUUCCUUUUAAGGCUUUUUUUAGCAGGCUUUAUCGCAGCAUGAGGUUCACGUUAAUAUUUAUAUUUAAAGAGAAAAGCGUUUACAGAAGUCCUGCCUUCUCCUCCAGGUGAUAUAUUCGUAUCUAAGAGUUUUUGAUACUUCCUCUGCUGUACUUCUGAUCCAUUCGUGCAGGUUUUGGGCUUUCUGGACUUUGUGUGAGCUGUGCUCACAGUGAAACCAGAAGAACUGGUAACAGUUUGGAGGAUUAAGAUGAGUGUUUUUUGGUUAAUGAUGAAUGUGUUUUUGAUUGUUUUGUUAAAACGUGUUAAUUGUAUUGUGUGUAUUUUGCUGGGUAUGUAUUUUCUACCUUGCAUGCAAUGCUUUAUUUAGUGUGUUACUUUUAUGAGCAGUGAACUAAAAUGUGAGAUGCUCGAGCCAACUACAAAAAAAACAUUACGUUAGCAAUAGUCGGAUCUUUGAGUGACAGUAAAUUCUGUGGUAUUUAAGUAUUAGCACAAAAUGCAUCUACUUGCUGGUGUAAAUGAAGUGUGAGGGGAGAGGUGGGAGUGCUAAAUGUGGAAAAUAAAGCUAAGCUAAUUAAAGGGAUGCUGCAAGUGUCCCAACAGCUAGCAAAGGUCACACAA
Melanotaenia boesemani (Boeseman's rainbowfish) is the source of this 3586-nucleotide RNA transcript. It is a transcript of the gene named glycerophosphodiester phosphodiesterase domain containing 5b, with no coding region annotated. The transcript is spliced from 18 exons. The record is from RefSeq and is a predicted model, not a curated record. NCBI's taxonomy places the organism in Eukaryota, Metazoa, Chordata, Actinopteri, Atheriniformes, Melanotaeniidae.